RNAcentral lists this ribosomal RNA (253 nucleotides) under uncultured bacterium. Its description in RNAcentral is "partial 16S ribosomal RNA". It matches the Rfam family "Bacterial small subunit ribosomal RNA", at positions 524 to 776 of the family's 1533-position model. The record is from RNAcentral.
UACAGAGGUGGCAAGCGUUGUUCGGAAUUACUGGGCGUAAAGGGCGCGUAGGCGGCCGUUUGCGUCGGAUGUGAAAGCCCGGGGCUCAACCUCGGAACGGCAUUCGAUACGGGACGGCUGGAGACCGGGAGAGGAGAGUGGAAUAGCCAGUGUAGAGGUGAAAUUCGUAGAUAUUGGCUGGAACACCGGUGGCGAAAGCGGCUCUCUGGCCCGGUUCUGACGCUGAGGCGCGAAAGCGUGGGGAGCAAACAGG